AUUGAACGCUGGCGGCAUGCCUUACACAUGCAAGUCGAACGGCAGCACGGGUGCUUGCACCUGGUGGCGAGUGGCGAACGGGUGAGUAAUAUAUCGGAACGUACCUUAUUGUGGGGGAUAACGCAGCGAAAGCUGUGCUAAUACCGCAUAAUCCCGAAGGGGGAAAGCGGGGGACCGUAAGGCCGCGCGCAAUUAGAGCGGCCGAUACCUGAUUAGCUAGUUGGUGAGGGAAAGGCUCACCAAGGCAACGAUCAGUAGCUGGUCUGAGAGGACGAUCAGCCACACUGGGACUGAGACACGGCCCAGACUCCUACGGGGGGCAGCAGUGGGGAAUUUUGGACAAUGGGGGCAACCCUGAUCCAGCAAUGCCGCGUGAGUGAAGAAGGCCUUCGGGUUGUAAAGCUCUUUUGUCAGGGAAGAAACAGCAGCUCUAACACAGUAUGCGAAUGACGGUACCUGAAGAAUAAGCACCGGCUAACUACGUGCCAGCCGCCGCAGUAA
This 501-nucleotide ribosomal RNA is filed under the name uncultured bacterium. RNAcentral's name for it is "partial 16S ribosomal RNA". It matches the Rfam family "Bacterial small subunit ribosomal RNA", at positions 30 to 523 of the family's 1533-position model. The record is from RNAcentral.